GCAAACUUGGUCAUUUAGAGGAAGUAAAAGUCGUAACAAGGUUUCCGUAGGUGAACCUGCGGAAGGAUCAUUAUUGAAUACCUUGAUGGGUUGUAGCUGGCCUUUCAAGGCAUGUGCACACCUGUCUUGACUUUAUUCAUCCCCCUGUGCACUAAUUGUAGUCUUUCACUCUCUUGGUUAAGAAAUGCAGGCAUUGUUCAGUUGAGACAUACUGGAUUUGGGGACUGCCUCUUGGCUUUUCUCUGUGCUUGUCAGAUCAUUAUCCACUUGAGAAGGACUAUGUUCUUUAUCAUAUACCAUAUUGUAUGUUGCCAGAAUGUGUAAAAUGGGUAUUAAUGCCUAUAACAUCUUUAUACAACUUUCAGCAACGGAUCUCUUGGCUCUCGCAUCGAUGAAGAACGCAGC
Molecule: unclassified non-coding RNA, 405 nt
Filed under: uncultured fungus
Lineage: Eukaryota; Fungi
Description: partial contains small subunit ribosomal RNA, internal transcribed spacer 1, and 5.8S ribosomal RNA
Rfam family: Eukaryotic small subunit ribosomal RNA (bases 1-73)
Source: RNAcentral